This 539-nucleotide long non-coding RNA is filed under the name Junco hyemalis (dark-eyed junco). RNAcentral's name for it is "lncRNA (ENSJHYG00000007629.1)". The record is from RNAcentral. Lineage: Eukaryota; Metazoa; Chordata; Aves; Passeriformes; Passerellidae.
GCAAAGAAGCAGUCCAGUUUAAGCUGCUAGGGUUUCUGAUGAGCAACAGGUUAUAAUGAAGGAAGGCAAGGAAGGCGUGAAUGAGCGACUCCAGCCCCUGGUAAAGAGAGGAUUACACUGAAGAUAGAGAGUGUAAGAUGCUUGUGGAGGGCAGGUCAGCACAUCAAACAGGCUCUGCUGGCGCUGCUGGGAGCGCUGAGGGAAGGAUCCUGCCUGCCUGGGGUCGUGGGCAGAAUGUGCCUGGUCUCUCCGCACAGCGCUUCUCAAAUCCACUAAAAUCAACACAAUAAUUGAAAUAUUUUCAAGCUGAUUACACCGCUGCCUGAGGCUAGGCUGGUUGCUAAGGGUAAGCUCCCUGGUUGCUAGGGGGAGUAAAUCAUCUUGCAUUAUUUGAUUUUUGUUAUAGAUAUGAAACCGCUACUCCCUCGAUUAAAUGUCUCUCAGUCUAACACCUAUGGGACCUGGGGAAAGAGAAAAGAAAAGCAGCAACCUUGACCCUGUCAAAUAAAUAUCUCUAACUUUUCCUGUCCUCCGGCUUC